CGUGUAUUCAAUUGCGAAUAACA
This 23-nucleotide microRNA is filed under the name Ixodes scapularis (black-legged tick). RNAcentral describes it as "Isc-Mir-137_5p* (star (passenger))". The record is from RNAcentral. Lineage: Eukaryota; Metazoa; Arthropoda; Arachnida; Ixodida; Ixodidae.